RNAcentral lists this long non-coding RNA (1484 nucleotides) under Homo sapiens (human). RNAcentral's name for it is "HSALNT0347870". The record is from RNAcentral. Lineage: Eukaryota; Metazoa; Chordata; Mammalia; Primates; Hominidae.
AUUUAAACUAAAAACAAAAGGAAAACAAGACACAUUAGCUUGGUUUUUUAAAAAAGCAAUGUUCUUGUUUUAUCUUUCAGCCCCAGAACUUGCCAGUCAAGAUGAAAAACUUCUUCUAAUGGAAUCCAGCUUGAAAGCUACUCAAGAGCAGCUAACUGAGCAAAUAGCAGAAACAGUUCGCCAAGAACAGAACAGUAGAAAACCCCAGGCAGAGCUGAAGACAGUGACAGAAGGGAUUAUUGCUUCUGAAGAAGAAAAAAAAUGAUUACAAAAUCACCUAUUUUACCGUCUUUUACAACUUCGUUGUAGGAGGUGUGAAAGAGGAGGGAAAUUGUGUUGAGUGAAGAGAGGAAGAGUGUUGUAAUUUUCUGGACAUGGAGAAUCAUUUGCUAUGCUAAACUGGAUAAAUGCUUGGCCUACCUCAUGGGAGUAGGAUAGAAAAGAGUAGCUGGAUCUAUUCUGCUGAGACGCCAAGGUCUCCAUAUUCUUUCAAAAUCAAUGGCCUUAGAGGGAUCAUGAAUUGCUGAGGUAGAACAAUCCUUGCUCCUCUUUAUCUCUCAUCUACUGCCUUUGAAAUCAACUGGAGCUGCGUACUUGGGAAACUGGAGCUGCGUACUUGGAAGCAGCACAAACGGUUAGACUGGAAAUAAAAAUAUGGCCUAGGAUUUGUGAUGCUCAAGUGAUUCAGACUCAUUUCUCCAAUAGCUGUGGUUUUGAAAUAUACUAGACUUAUUGCUGAUAUAUUACAGUUCAUAGUGUUCUAAUUCAUUUUGCAGAAGUAAUCCUGCCCAACUCGACCAUUACUCUUUAAAGUAGAGCUUACAUUUUGGUUCCAUUUGAAAUCACUCAUUAUUAAGUUCAUAAUACCUGAUUUUAUCAAAUUAUGCAUAUACAAAAGGUGUCCAUGCCUAUUUUGUGGACAAGAACAAAGUAAGUGAAAACUCCCAUGAUAGGUAAUGCUCAUGUGUGAUAUAAAAUGCACCUCCAACUUGCUGAAGCUUUCUCUUCCUUCAUUGAUGCGGUUUCUGUAAUUCCACAUAUUCUUUCCUGAAUAAUUAAAAAUGAGGAUAAUAAGGUCCCUUAGCUUCUUUACUCAGCAUAUAACAAAGUACACUUAUUCUUUCAUAUGUAUAAAAUCGAUAUUUAAAAAAUCAUAUUCUUAGUCUUUAUUCAAUUUUGUGGAUGCACUGCACAUGUUAAACUUUUAUCUUUUAGAGAGAGCAUGGUUUGUAUUUACUUAAUUUGUUUCAUAUUAGUAUAUAUUAAUUUUGUUUUAUAUUCAUAGGCUAUUUAUCAUCAGUUAGGAGAAUUUUGUUCCUACCUUUUCAGAAAAACCCCUAAUAUAUGUUAUAUGCCUUGGGAAAAAUAUGUAAUAAAUCUAAAAAUAAUUACCACUUUGUAGUAUUUCACAGUGAAAUAUUGAUUAUUACUGAAAUUAUUAUGCUGAUAUUAAUCUUUUUCUUAAUGUGUAACAAUAUUUCCAC